This 332-nucleotide long non-coding RNA is filed under the name Salmo trutta (river trout). RNAcentral's name for it is "lncRNA (ENSSTUG00000000048.1)". The record is from RNAcentral. Lineage: Eukaryota; Metazoa; Chordata; Actinopteri; Salmoniformes; Salmonidae.
UAAAGGGAGAGCCUGGUUUCCAUGGUUACCCUGGAUUACAGGGUGAAAGUGGUGAUUUUGGAGUCAAAGGAGGUCCAGGCCCCAAAGGAAACCGAGGCAGAGGGGGGAACUCGGGCAGGUCGGGUGAGUCAGGAGAUCCAGGAUCCAUUGGACCACCGGGACACACUGGCUCUAGAGGCAGACCAGGAGAGAGAGCCAUGUCUGAAUGCCAGCUGACCACCUAUAUCCGUGAUAACUGUGCAUGCUCUCAAGGUAUGUCUCCAUUAACCCUUCCUCGUCCAAAUAAAUGUAUGUACUUGACUGUAGAUUCUGGUGUAAUCAAACCAGAACUC